CCUACGGGAGGCAGCAGUGGGGAAUAUUGGACAAUGGGGGCAACCCUGAUCCAGCCAUGCCGCGUGUGUGAAGAAGGCCCUCGGGUUGUAAAGCACUUUCAGUGAGGAAGAACGCCUGGUGGUUAAUACCCAUCAGGAAAGACAUCACUCACAGAAGAAGCACCGGCUAACUCCGUGCCAGCAGCCGCGGUAAUACGGAGGGUGCGAGCGUUAAUCGGAAUUACUGGGCGUAAAGCGCGCGUAGGUGGCUUGAUAAGCCGGUUAUGAAAGCCCCGGGCUCAACCUGGGAACGGCAUCCGGAACUGUCAAGCUAGAGUGCAGGAGAGGAAGGUAGAAUUCCCGGUGUAGCGGUGAAAUGCGUAGAGAUCGGGAGGAAUACCAGUGGCGAAGGCGGCCUUCUGGACUGACACUGACACUGAGGUGCGAAAGCGUGGGUAGCAAACAGGAUUAGAUACCCCUGUAGUC
Molecule: ribosomal RNA, 465 nt
Filed under: Vreelandella stevensii
Lineage: Bacteria; Pseudomonadati; Pseudomonadota; Gammaproteobacteria; Oceanospirillales; Halomonadaceae
Description: partial 16S ribosomal RNA
Rfam family: Bacterial small subunit ribosomal RNA
Source: RNAcentral